UGUCUAAAUUGCAUGUCAGAUUGUAAUUCCCAGGCCCUUCCUCCAAUACUGGGAAUUACAAUUUGACAUGCAAUUUAGACA
This is a microRNA precursor of Homo sapiens (human), 81 nucleotides long. The record is from Ensembl. NCBI's taxonomy places the organism in Eukaryota, Metazoa, Chordata, Mammalia, Primates, Hominidae.